CAGUAUUCAAGUAGAUGGUUAACAGGGGACAAGAAGAAAAAAUGCAGUUUUAAAAACAAAAGUUGUGGCAGCCAUCGGGUUAUCUGAUAACGAACACCGAAUGAUCUCAGACUUAAUAAACCUGUGAAGUAAAAAGAGGAAGUGGAGGCAUGGACAUUUCUUUGAUCCACAGCAGUGUAACUAAUGUCAUGUUUUGCGUCACUAGCUCACAGGAGAUGCAACAUGCAUGUAACUAGCCUGAAAGAUUUGGAACUUCAGUUCAUCAUGGAGGUUGAAGUAACAUGACUGACAGAGUUCCUACAGCCCAGUAGAAGUCUUUGACUAUGAACUGUUACCCUAUUUAUACUUGUUUGUUAAGUUAUUUUUUGAGAAAAUUGUGUAAUGUCCUCUCUAGGUAAAUUAACAUACAGUGAACAUUUAUCAGCAUGGAUUACUUGUUGUGCAACGAAGGACUUUUCCAACAUACAGCCAGAGCUGCACAAGGGACAAGAGUAAAUGAAAAAGGAGGCAGCAACAAUAUGAUUAUGGAAACAAUGCCAAUUUGUAAAUGAAAAGCUUUGAACCUUUUUUUCUUUUUUCUUUUUUUUUCUUUUUUCUGAAGCAUAGCACCCAUGGGCAUUCCUAAAUAGAUCUGGGCAGCCCUGCAGAUAAAUCAAAAUUCAGACAAGCCAAGGACCUGGUUGUUCUCCAUAAGCAAAAAUACAACCCAAGCUGUUAAUGUUGGCUGCCCAUUUAUAAAAAAUAAAAAAUAAAAAAAAAAUAAAUAAAUUCUAUUCUAUGUAAAGAUAUAGAAAUUCAAUGUGACCGUGAGGAAACUACCAAAGGAUUGUCUUUAUUCACAGAUGUGAAGCCAAGGCAAAGCUUGUAACUCAACAAGAUCUCAAAUUAAACUUCCUUUAAACCAACUCUAAGUUUAAGUUCUGUAAAUUUAUAUAAUUAAAGUAGGAUAACAGGAACUUUAAUGUCAACAUAAUCAGGUCCUAGGAACAAGUAAAUCAGCUCUUUAUUGGAAUAAACAGUUCUUACGCAGCACAGAAUUACACCUUUUACAGAAAAGGAAGUUAGAGAGACAGGGAAGGAUGAAAGAGGAGCCUGGCAGAGACCUGAUAAUUAAAAGGGUCUUUUUCAAACACAAACAGAAGAUUAUGACUUGAGUUAAAGAAAUAGCAAUGCUUAUGUAUGCACUUAUUAUCAACAAAGGUCCUUGCAUUUAAGUAAAACAAUGCUUCUGAAGAAAAAUAAGAUGAGCUAUAAGCAGAAAUGUUUUCAAAGCAGAAUAUUGUUCAUGGAUUUCCAUAAAAUAAUAGUGACUGUUUAGAAGUGUCCCUUUUAAAUUAUCAUGGACUAAAUCAGAGACUAGAACUAAAAUGUAACCACUCCAAAAAAUAAUGGUGGUGGAGGCUGCUGUUCCUUAUGUGUGUCGUUCACAUUUACUCUGCAAACAUACAGUUCAGUUUAAUUAGCAUGUGAUUGAAAAGUGUUGAUGUCUUGUGUUCUGUGUUGCUAAAUGGAUUUCCUCAUGCUGGGGAAUAUGUAAAUUUCUUGAAGAAUUGUUUAUGCUACCAGAGCGGCUUUUAAGUAAUUUUGAUGACAAGAAUUAAAGUAGGCAGUCAACAUAGUUAUUUUGAGGAUUUAAUAUAGUUGUGAACAUAGGAGUGUAAAUAACUUUUUCAAGGAGCUGAAGCAGUUUGUAAAAACAGCUGUACAGAUUUUUUUUUUUAAUUUUUUUUUUCCCAUUUCAUGGAACAGUAGAGUUUAAUUGAAGCUUUUGUCCCUUCUCAUUUCUGGAAGCCAGAAAUAAGAUGAAUAAAUGUAAAGAAAAAAUUAAAAAAAAAAAAAAAUCCCUCUCCUUCGAAGCAGUGAAUAUCAUUUAAAAAAGAAAAGAUUUAAGUAUUUCUAUAUGAUUCUUCUCUGGUCUAUAAAAACUUUAAAUGUCUGUAGCUUCAUUUAUUUCACAGAGUAUAUUUCUGAUUUACUGUAGUUGUAAAAGAGAAAAAUAUGAAUUAAAGUGUAAAUUACACUUCUUUGAAAGCUACACAUUUUUAAUUGUCAGAAUGGCAGAGGCAAAGUACUCUCAAAAGCUUGCAUAGUUCAGUCAAAUCUAGAAAUAUAUAGACACUGAAAUUUCCACUCCGCAGAAAGAUUUGCAGCUUCAGAAUCAAUUUUAUUCUGAACCAGAGUGAAGAAACAGAGAACUUUCCAAGAAAUAUAAUUUCCAGGAAUAAAAAAAUCAGAUUAAUUUAAAAAUAAAAAUUAAAAAUUUAAAAAAGUGCCAUGUUUUUCAAGCUUAUAAUAUUUUGAAAAAAACUUUGAAAGGGAAAGUUAUUUCAUGAUGAAAAAGCUGAAAAAUAUUCCUUAUAUGAAAAUGCCAAAUAUCUUCACUAUUUGUUUUCAAAUUGGAAAUGUUAUAAAUGAAAUCAACGAGUGUUGGAGGGUUAUUAAUCUAUGGACAUUAAUAGUCAUGAGCUGUAUGGGAGCAUGCAAGAGCAGCUAGUAUCAGCAAGAGCCAUCAAUAUAAACCCACAGAGGUUUGGGAGGUUACUGGCAACCCUUCCCCAUUUUUAAGGGUGACUUCUUUUCUUGUCGCCAACACUAGUCCACCAAUGUCCCAUAAAUAUAUUACUACUGGAGAGGCUUGCACCUUCAUAAGCAGAAGAUCAUGCUGUAAUAAGGGUUAAUCUAAACUGAAGUAUUCACCUAACCUGAAUUUUUUAAAGUUUCUAGUCAUGAGGUCUAAGAUAGCUUCCUAAACUCCCUUUGGACAGUGCAGAGAGUAAUGUGCUCCUAGAGCAUCAUUCAUCUGUUGUAGCCAGAUGCUUAUAGUAGUAAAGAUUUUCCCCCCCCCCCCCCCCCCCAUUAGGUCUGUCUGUAGAGGGAUUUCAACCAAAAGAUGCUGAACUUUUAUGUGGGUAAAGUUGGGUGAAGUAGUCUCCCUUUAAAUGUCAGAAUAAACCAUGUAGAAGAGAAAAUCCCAUUAGCCAGAUAAUACUCCUUUGAAUCCAUUGGUUCAUUGUGUCACAUUACACUAAUUAAUGAUGGUGUUGAACAAAAAUUAUUUUUGCUCAAAUACAAAGUUAAUCUACCUCAACAAAAAUGCAUGUUUAUACUAUGUAAGUACUAUGUUUGCCAGGCCCUGUUCUUUUCUUCGGAAACUGUGAAUGUCCUUCUGCUUAUGAGAUUGAAUCCCUGCCACUGAGGUAUGGCGAAGUGCAGGAGAGUGGAGUUGUAUCCCCAGCCUUGUCACCUAUUCCCAUCAUCAGACACACUGGUGGAUAUUCUUCAGUAAUUCUUCUCAUCAGUCACGUGGAUUUAAGCAAAACUUCAGUAUAAUCAGAACUAGCACUAUUCUCUCCGAAAAAAGGACAGUUCAAAGAAAGAGUGGAAAAAAAUUAAUGCCAUGAUGUCUUAUUAUGAGAACAUAAAUAAGAUGGUGAUAUAGGAGAGGGGAAAAGAUAAGGGAAGAUAAGGGAAACAGAAAAGACUACAUAAUGGAUCAGGUCUCUCAAGUAGUUCUAGAAAACAUGAACGCAGAAAACCAAGGAGAUCCAGCCCAUCAAAAUCACUGAAAAGUCUAUUGACUUACGUGGUGCCACAUCACAAGUUCUUUUUAUCCUUAAACCUUAGAGAGACAGCAGCGUAAGAAAACUGUCUAACCACAUGAAAGAAACCUCUGCUCUGCUAAGUCACAGAUUAAUUUAAAAUUAAGGAAUUUCUGUAAAUACUUAAGUUACCUUGUAUCUCUUAACAGACAGAUAUAUAAUGAAUAGCUUAGGAAGUGAUAAGAAGUAGAACAAAGGAUGAAAAUCUAUCCAAGUGCAGACAGCAUUUGGGUUUAAUUCUAUCAAUAUCUUAGAAACAAAGAUAGACACAAACAACCAGUUACAAUACUAACAAUAAGAAACAAAAAUAAUAUUCUUUGUACGUGUAGCUAAAUUAUAGUUUGUUCACAGGUGUCCUGGUUUCAGCUGAGAUACAGUUAAUUUUCUUUCUAGUAGCCAGUAUAGUGCUGUGGUUUGGAUUUAGUAUGAGAAUAAUGUUGAUAACACACUGAUGGUUUAGUUGUUGCUGGGUAGCUGUAGUGUCUACAGGAAGUCAAGGACUUUUCAGGUUCUCACGCCCCGCCAGGUGCAGAAGAAGCUGGAGAGCACAGCCAGGACAGCUGACCCAGACUGGCCAAAGGGACAUUCCCUGCCACAGAACAUCAUGCUCCGGAUGGAACUGGGGAAGCGAGCCGGGAGGCGGGAUCGCUGCUUGGAAACAGACUGGGCAAUGGGUUUUGGGUUUUUUUCUGCAUGUGGUGAGCAAUUGUAUUGGUGCAUCACUUAUUAUUGUUGUUAUUAUUGUUAUUAUUAUUAUUCUUCUCUUCCUUUGUUAUCCUAUUAAACUGUCUUUAUC
This is a long non-coding RNA of Grus americana (Whooping crane), 4395 nucleotides long. RefSeq lists it as uncharacterized. The record is from RefSeq and is a predicted model, not a curated record. The transcript has 3 exons. NCBI's taxonomy places the organism in Eukaryota, Metazoa, Chordata, Aves, Gruiformes, Gruidae.